AAUAGAACCUGAAACCGUAUGCCUACAAACAGUCGAAGCUCUUUUUAGAGUGACGGCGUACCUUUUGUAUAAUGGGUCAGUGACUUAAUUUAUCCAGCAAGCUUAAGCCGUAAGGUGUAGGCGUAGCGAAAGCGAGUCUUAAAUGGGCGCAAGUUGUAUGAAUUAGACCCGAAAACGAAUGAGCUUACCAUGAGCAGGUUGAAAGCAGGGUAACACUUGCCGGAGGACCGAACCAGUUGACGUUGAAAAGUCUUUGGAUGACUUGUGGUAAGGGGUGAAAGGCCAACCAAAUUCGUAGAUAGCUGGUUUUCCGCGAAAACUAUUUAGGUAGUGCGUUGAGUAAAUUGAUGUUUGGAGGUAGAGCACUAAAGGGGCUAGGGGAGAGAAAUCUUUACCAACCCUCAUAAAACUCCGAAUGCCAAACAUUUUACCUCAGCAGACAGACUGUGGGUGCUAAGGUCCAUGGUCGAAAGGGAAAAAGCCCAGAUCACCAGAUAAGGUCCCUAAAUCAUGAUUAAGUGUGAAAGGAUGUGGAGAUUCCUAAACAGCCGGGAGGUUGGCUUAGAAGCAGCCAUCCUUUAAAGAUAGCGUAACAGCUCACCGGUCUAAUAGAGUUUCUGCGCCAAAGAUGUAACGGGGCUCAAAUCAUGUACCGAAUCUGUGGAUUUAUAAUUUCUUCGGAAAUUAUAUCUGGUAGCGGAACGUUCUGUAAGCCUGUAAAGGGAUACCCGUGAGGGAUCCUGGAGGUAUCAGAAGUGCGAAUGCUGACAUAAGUAACGAUUAACAGAGUGAAAAACUCUGUCGCCGAAAAUCCAAGGGUUCCUGCGCAAGGUUAAUCCGCGCAGGGUUAGUCGGUCCCUAAGUCGAGGGCGAGAGCCGUAGACGAUGGAAACAAGGUUAAUAUUCCUUGACCCGAUGGUAGUGACGGAUUACGUAAAUUGUUAACUCUUAUUGGAUUGAGUUAGCUGUGAAGUAGUCCCAGGAAAUAGCUCCAUCAUAGGACCGUACCCGAAACCGACACAGGUGGAUUAUUAGAGUAUAAUUAGGCGCUUGAGAGAAUGAUGUUGAAGGAACUCGGCAAAAUGCCUCCGUAACUUCGGAAGAAGGAGGACCCAUUUUAAGGCAACUUUAAGUGGGUGGCACAAGCUAGGGAGAUGCGACUGUUUAUCAAAAACACAGGGCUCUGCUAACACGUAAGUGGAUGUAUAGGGUCUGACGCCUGCCCGGUGCUGGAAGGUUAAUGCGAUCAGUGCAAGCUGAUUUCUGAAGCCCCAGUGAACGGCGGCCGUAACUAUAACGGUCCUAAGGUAGCGAAAUUCCUUGUCGGGUAAGUUCCGACCUGCAUGAAUGGCGUAACGAUAUCUCCGCUGUCUCCAACAUCAACUCAGUGAAAUUGAAUUCUC
Molecule: ribosomal RNA, 1403 nt
Filed under: marine metagenome
Description: bacterial LSU rRNA
Rfam family: Bacterial large subunit ribosomal RNA
Source: RNAcentral